GCGGCGCGGCACGGCGCGGCACGGCGCCCGGAGCGGGAAAAGAGCGUGAAGAGGGAAGAGAAGGGGCGGGGAGGUGGGAAAGCUGGGGGAAGAAGAGCAGCAGCAGCAGCAGCAGCAAGGUCGGACGAGGGAGCAAGGAAACAGCCGCGGCUCCCCACGCGCACUCGCGGCCCCCCAGCGGCCGAGCAGGUCCUCGGGCGAGAUCCCUCGUGCACGCACCAACCGUCCCCCCCCCUCCUCCCCUCGCACACGCGCGGCCCGACCUGCUGCCCGCGCACCGGCCGCCGCCGCCACCAUCCCGCUCCGCCACGGAGCUACUGGAACGCGGGGCCGCCCGCUGUGACGCCACGAGGAAGUCCGAAGAUUGCGCAGCGGUGGUUUUAACGAUUGCUGCUCCUCCGCACCGUAAAAAUACACGCAUUCUUCCCGGCGGGACACAGGAACAGAGCAGCCGCGUUCAGCCAGGUUCAACAGCGAAGCCACUUCUUUCCAGUUCGGGCUGGUUUUCGGUUGUGGGUUCUUGGUUGCUGUGGGAUUUUCGGAGGGGGAUUGCUUCACAGGCGAUCGCUGCAGCAGCGGGUGUAGCACACUGCCGCACGUCUUCUAACUCGUCUGUCGUUCUGUCCAUUCAUUUUGAAAGACGAGUCCUCAAAUCAUUUUAUCUUCUGCAUUAGGCAAAUAUCGCUACGUCAUCCGAAAUUCGGGAAUAAACUCGUUAACUCCAA
This is a long non-coding RNA of Gallus gallus (chicken), 725 nucleotides long. RefSeq lists it as uncharacterized. The transcript has 2 exons. The record is from RefSeq and is a predicted model, not a curated record. Lineage: Eukaryota; Metazoa; Chordata; Aves; Galliformes; Phasianidae.